GAGACGCUGGCGGCGUGGAUUAGGCAUGCAAGUCGAACGGUAUCAUCCUUCGGAGGUGAGAGAGUGGCGAACUGGUGAGUAACACGUAGGUUAUCUACCCUCAAGACGGGGACAACCCAGGGAAACUUGGGCUAAUACCGGAUGUGAGCAACUUUAGUUGUUUGAAAGGUGGCGUAAGCUGUCGCUUGGGGAUGAGCCUGCGUCCUAUUAGUUAGUUGGUGAGGUAACGGCUCACCUAGGCAAUGAUAGGUAGGCGGCCUUAACGGGUGGUCGCCCACACUGGGAUUGAGAUACGGCCCAGACUCCUACGGGAGGCAGCAGUCGAGAAUAGUCUACAAUGGUCGGAAGACUGAUAGUGCGACGCCGCGUGAACGAUGAAUCCCUUCGGGGUGUAAAGUUCUUUUAUAUGUGAGCAGUGCUUCUUAUAUUAACAGUAUGGGGAGAGAGAUAUUAGCAUAUGAAUAAGCAACGGCUAACUCCGUG
RNAcentral lists this ribosomal RNA (483 nucleotides) under uncultured bacterium. RNAcentral describes it as "bacterial SSU rRNA". It matches the Rfam family "Bacterial small subunit ribosomal RNA", at positions 33 to 507 of the family's 1533-position model. The record is from RNAcentral.